This 467-nucleotide ribosomal RNA is filed under the name uncultured Acidovorax sp. RNAcentral's name for it is "bacterial SSU rRNA". It matches the Rfam family "Bacterial small subunit ribosomal RNA", at positions 917 to 1381 of the family's 1533-position model. The record is from RNAcentral. Lineage: Bacteria; Pseudomonadati; Pseudomonadota; Betaproteobacteria; Burkholderiales; Comamonadaceae.
GACGGGACCGCACAAGCGGUGGAUGAUGUGGUUUAAUUCGAUGCAACGCGAAAACCUUACCCACCUUUGACAUGUACGGAAUCCUUUAGAGAUAGAGGAGUGCUCGAAAGAGAACCGUAACACAGGUGCUGCAUGGCUGUCGUCAGCUCGUGUCGUGAGAUGUUGGGUUAAGUCCCGCAACGAGCGCAACCCUUGUCAUUAGUUGCUACAUUCAGUUGGGCACUCUAAUGAGACUGCCGGUGACAAACCGGAGGAAGGUGGGGAUGACGUCAAGUCCUCAUGGCCCUUAUAGGUGGGGCUACACACGUCAUACAAUGGAUGGUACAAAGGGUCGCCAACCCGCGAGGGGGAGCCAAUCCCAUAAAGCCAUUCGUAGUCCGGAUCGCAGUCUGCAACUCGACUGCGUGAAGUCGGAAUCGCUAGUAAUCGUGGAUCAGAAUGUCACGGUGAAUACGUUCCCGGGCCUU